CGCCCAUCUAUUAAUACACAAGUACUUUGUGUUAAAUAGCAUUAAAGAAUUCCAAACCUUUCCUCACAUUGCAGGAAAUGAGGGUCAAAAGACAAAAUAUUUCCUCGAGGCAAUUAGUUUUGAAACUACAGUAAAUUUCCCUGUUGAUAAACGAACAAUAUAUUGAACUGCUGACGGCAUUUGAGAUAUACCAUAUUUGUUUUUCACUGUUUACUUAAUC
Molecule: non-coding RNA, 220 nt
Organism: Paramuricea clavata
Lineage: Eukaryota; Metazoa; Cnidaria; Anthozoa; Malacalcyonacea; Plexauridae
Source: the annotation of a GenBank genome assembly